UUUUUGAGUUCCCUCCCUUCCGAAGCCCGCUCUUCCCUUUUCCUUGUCCACCGACUAUUUGCUCCCCCCUCCAGAUUGAGUGGUGCAUAGGGUUCUGAUAGCUUCGCCGGUCUUCCCCGAAGAAAGGGUUUGACACCAACCCAUCUCUUUCUUGAUUCUUUGCCUUGAGCUAUGAUACUAAUUCUUUGUGUUUCAUGGCAAGAUCCACCCAUUGAACGGGUAAAGGAGCUUCGAGGCAAUGAUUCAAGAAAAGGUUUCUGAUAGCUUCGUUAGUCUUCCCCCAAGAAAAGGUUCAACGAUUUAUCGGAUGAAGGAGCUGCUAGGCAAAGAUUCAAGAAAAGGUUUGAUCUCUGAUAGGUCCGCCGGUCUUCCCCCAAGAAAAGGUUUGAUUCCAACCCAUUUCUUUCUUGAUUCUUUGCCUUAAGCAAUGAUACUCAUUCCUUGUGUUUCAUACUUUCAUGGCAAGAUCCAAAGAUUGAUUGGGUAAAGGAGCUGCUAGGCAACGAUUCAAAAAAAGGUUUGAUCCUGUGUGCAGCCGUAUGUUGAGAGAUUUGGAGGGAAAGAAAUGCAAGAAUCUUCACCAAAAAGAGAUCUUCUAUUUACUCAAUUCUUCAAAAAGCUGUAAACUCUUGUAAGCCGUGAUCCCUUCUUGAUGUCUUUUUUUGCAGGUGAUGAGACCAAUUUUUUGCAGAUGAUUUCUUGGCUAGAUCAGAUGAUUUUUUGGCCGUCUUUUUUUGUUCUGAUUCAGCUUUAUCUCCAGACUCUAUGUUUUCAUACCUAUACAUCAUCAUGGAAUGCCUUGGGGGGACAGAACAAGCACCACUUCCAGUGCACCGUUGGUAAAGGAUUUUCCAACUAUUCACCUGGCAAGUGAUUUUCUGUACACUCUUAAGCAUUACAAUCUGCAAGGUGGAAUUUCUUUUUGUCACUCAGCAGUUCUCCUGUGCUUUGUUCUUUAUGAAGCUCUCAUUAAUGGUUGCCCCCUUAAAUGUCUCAUACCACUGGCCUGCUGUUAUAUGGUUCUGCAUCUUGGAAGUUACCUGCUGCUGUGUUGUGCUAUACAUUUUUUUUUGGUAGAACUGUGUUAUGCUAUACUUGCUGGUUAUUCACUAUACUUCAUAGUUUUCUACUCUUCACUUGUCUCUUUUAUGUAUUAUUUAUACAGGUUGGGAGCUGUAUUUUUGAACUAUGGGCCAUUUCUUGUUUCCGGCCGAUCUUCUUGUGGGUUCCCUUUGCUCCUGUAAACGUCAUGUUACACUUUUCUUCAAUAUAGGCUUUAAUCCUGAGUUACCAAAAGAAAAAAAAAA
Elaeis guineensis (African oil palm) is the source of this 1307-nucleotide non-coding RNA. The record is from RefSeq and is a predicted model, not a curated record. Lineage: Eukaryota; Viridiplantae; Streptophyta; Magnoliopsida; Arecales; Arecaceae.